Molecule: transfer RNA, 67 nt
Filed under: Marmota monax (woodchuck)
Lineage: Eukaryota; Metazoa; Chordata; Mammalia; Rodentia; Sciuridae
Rfam family: tRNA
About the family: Transfer RNA (tRNA) molecules are approximately 80 nucleotides in length. Their secondary structure includes four short double-helical elements and three loops (D, anti-codon, and T loops). Further hydrogen bonds mediate the characteristic L-shaped molecular structure. tRNAs have two regions of fundamental functional importance: the anti-codon, which is responsible for specific mRNA codon recognition, and the 3' end, to which the tRNAs corresponding amino acid is attached (by aminoacyl-tRNA synthetases). tRNAs cope with the degeneracy of the genetic code in two manners: having more than one tRNA (with a specific anti-codon) for a particular amino acid; and 'wobble' base-pairing, i.e. permitting non-standard base-pairing at the 3rd anti-codon position.
Source: Rfam by way of RNAcentral
GAGGUUGUGGCUCAGCGGUAGAGCACUUGCCUUGCAUGUGAAGCACUAGGUUCGAUCCUCAGCAUCA